RNAcentral lists this unclassified non-coding RNA (343 nucleotides) under soil metagenome. RNAcentral's name for it is "partial contains 5.8S ribosomal RNA, internal transcribed spacer 2, and large subunit ribosomal RNA". The stretch from base 1 to 120 matches the Rfam family "5.8S ribosomal RNA", at positions 35 to 154 of the family's 154-position model. The record is from RNAcentral.
GAUGAAGAACGUAGCGAAAUGCGAUAAGUAAUGUGAAUUGCAGAAUUCAGUGAAUCAUCGAGUUUUUGAACGCAUAUUGCGCCCUCUGGUAUUCCGGGGGGCAUGCCUGUUCGAGCGUCAUUAAAUAACCCUCAAGCAUAGCUUGGUGUUGGGCUUUUUUACGUCCUUGACUGGGAUGGGCCUAAAAAUUAGUGGCGAUGGCUUUUUUACUUUCAAGCGUAGUAAAUCUCGUCUUGCUAAAGAGGAAAAAGAUUUUUUUUCUGCCAAAAAUUUUAACAUCUAAAGUUGACCUCGGAUCAGGUAGGAUUACCCGCUGAACUUAAGCAUAUCAAUAAGCGGAGGA